Long non-coding RNA from Lethenteron reissneri (Far Eastern brook lamprey), 579 nucleotides. RefSeq lists it as uncharacterized. Lineage: Eukaryota; Metazoa; Chordata; Hyperoartia; Petromyzontiformes; Petromyzontidae. The record is from RefSeq and is a predicted model, not a curated record.
UCGGCAAGGCCAGGAAGGCGAGUGGGAGGCGUUGGACCGUUAUCUGGCUCGCAUCGAGUGCGACAUCAAGCAGGAGGUGGAGGGCCGGCUACACAAGAUCAAGAAAUACCUAUUGGAGUCAUUCCCCUUGCCAGGGACGAGCGCCGAUCUUUACUGACAGUUCACGAUAUAGCCGGUGGCCGAGAUGGUGCUGCAUGUCUUCCAGAACGCCGAGGACAUCUUUGUGAAUAAGCUGAAGAAGUGUGUCCAGGACUGCCUGGGGCAGGUGAAAGGGGACACGCUGGCCCGGAAGCUGUUUCAGUUGGCUAUGUGCUGUGGCUCGCUCGAGACUCCCUGACCUCGUGGUCAAGGAGAAACCGGCCGCGUUUCUCGGCAACAUCAGCACUCCCUACACCAGACUGCCGCCUCCUCCGGAGAAGGCGGUAGCCGAGCAGCUGGUCCGUCUGCUGAGCCACGCAAGUUACGAUGGCAGAGCUCCUGGGCCUGCCCGCGCUGUCACGCGUGGAGAAGCAGCUUGCCGAGCACUUUGACUCGUGCGACCUCCCCAGCCUGGGCCUCGGCUCCUUCUUGGACAUCCUC